GCUCCAUUGGCGCAGUUGGUUAGCGCGUGAGUCUAAUAAACUCAAGGUCAUCAGUUCGAGCCUGGUAUGGAGCA
Transfer RNA from Salpingoeca sp., 74 nucleotides. It matches the Rfam family "tRNA". From Rfam's summary of the family: Transfer RNA (tRNA) molecules are approximately 80 nucleotides in length. Their secondary structure includes four short double-helical elements and three loops (D, anti-codon, and T loops). Lineage: Eukaryota; Choanoflagellata; Craspedida; Salpingoecidae. The record is from Rfam.